This is a long non-coding RNA of Passer domesticus (house sparrow), 1005 nucleotides long. RefSeq lists it as uncharacterized. NCBI's taxonomy places the organism in Eukaryota, Metazoa, Chordata, Aves, Passeriformes, Passeridae. The transcript has 3 exons. The record is from RefSeq and is a predicted model, not a curated record.
UUCUAGGUUCCCAGAUAUCUCAGGUGUAGUCUGUUUAUGUUUUCAAGUAAGAGAAGAAAUUAUUUGAAGCCCACAGUAUUUUAGUCAAGCAGCUACAACACAUGCUGUCUUUUGAGAGCGCUGUGCUGGUCCCAUCCCCUCCAUGAAAUGCUAUGUCAGGCAUUCCCAAAGCAAUUUUUUUUAAAAUGCUGCCUCUCUGAGCUCUCCUCCAAACUGUAAUGCAGAGCCAAAUCUGUCAGGCCAGGCUCUCCUCUCUCUGAAUUACCAGCAGCCAAGAUUAAUUAGCACCCAGAGCAUUUCCAGCUGUGCCGUUUGUGCGAUGCUGCUGCCGAGAUGCGUCACCACUCACCAGUUCUCAUCCAGAUACCAAGACAAGCCUUCUGUGCAGGUAAUGCAAAGGGAAAGUUUGCAAGCAAUUGGACAUUCUGGGAAUCACAAAGACCUGGAAAAAACAAAUGAGAAGACACAGAAGCGAAAUCUGAAAUUCCUCAAGAAUUCAGCCACUUUCAUUUGACAGAUCAUGAGAACAAGACAGAUCAUGACCUGCUUAUGCCCAACCACUGCAGAUCCUGCCGUGCAGCACAGCUGAGAGUGUUUUAAAUUCCCAGGGCCUGGAGCUAGGAAGAGACCCUCUGGGGAAGGGACAGGAUGUGUUUUAUACUGGGGUUUGCCAGCACUGAGCCAGCUGGGCGAGCCUGACCUCAUUACAAACCUGGAGCAAGUGCACAAACUGACUUAUUUUGGCUCUACAUGACUGGGACAGCAUCACAUCAAUACAUUUGUGAGAAGAUGAAUCAGACCAGCCAGACUUUAGCAAGACUAAAAUUAUCCUAAAAAAGAGCUUCAGGGGUACCUAUCUGUAGAGUGAGAACUUUUCUUCCUUGAAGAAAAGGAACAUGGAGAUUUUGGCAAAAUUUGAUCAGUGUCCACCUUGUAGGUAUACUCAGCAGCUGCCUCUGUCCCUGCUGGACCUCACAUGGGUUUCUGAAGGAACAACUGCCUCAA